AUCCAGCUGACGAGUCACAAACAGGACGAAACGCGUGUCCUGGAU
Molecule: non-coding RNA, 45 nt
Filed under: Schistosoma curassoni
Lineage: Eukaryota; Metazoa; Platyhelminthes; Trematoda; Strigeidida; Schistosomatidae
Source: RNAcentral